This 468-nucleotide ribosomal RNA is filed under the name Segatella salivae. RNAcentral describes it as "bacterial SSU rRNA". It matches the Rfam family "Bacterial small subunit ribosomal RNA", at positions 28 to 485 of the family's 1533-position model. The record is from RNAcentral. Lineage: Bacteria; Pseudomonadati; Bacteroidota; Bacteroidia; Bacteroidales; Prevotellaceae.
GAUGAACGCUAGCUACAGGCUUAACACAUGCAAGUCGAGGGGAAACGACAUUGAAGCUUGCUUCGAUGGGCGUCGACCGGCGCACGGGUGAGUAACGCGUAUCCAACCUGCCCCUGACUAAGGGAUAACCCGGCGAAAGUCGGACUAAUACCUUAUGAGGUUUUCUGCAGACAUCUAACGAAAACGAAAGAUUUAUCGGUCAGUGAUGGGGAUGCGUCUGAUUAGCUUGUUGGCGGGGUAACGGCCCACCAAGGCAACGAUCAGUAGGGGUUCUGAGAGGAAGGUCCCCCACAUUGGAACUGAGACACGGUCCAAACUCCUACGGGAGGCAGCAGUGAGGAAUAUUGGUCAAUGGGCGAGAGCCUGAACCAGCCAAGUAGCGUGCAGGAUGACGGCCCUAUGGGUUGUAAACUGCUUUUAUGUGGGGAUAAAGUGAGCUACGUGUAGUUUAUUGCAGGUACCACAUAA